This is a non-coding RNA of Paramuricea clavata, 219 nucleotides long. The record is from the annotation of a GenBank genome assembly. NCBI's taxonomy places the organism in Eukaryota, Metazoa, Cnidaria, Anthozoa, Malacalcyonacea, Plexauridae.
CUACAUAUUACAUUUUUUGCUGCCGAAAUAAGGAAUGGGAAAAUCCGGAUUUACUAACAAUUUGACUUAUCUGAUUGUAUAUACAUAUAUUGCAUGCACUUUGUUCUGUUAUUUUAGUCUAGUAUAGUUGUGAUUCAAAUAGCCAACCGUAAGUUACCUUUAUGAGAGAGAUUUACGAUUGUAUAUGUAUGUAAAGAAAAACAUUUAAUAAAGUUUCCA